GUGUGUUCCUCAGACGUGGUAUUUGGCCGCAGAUCUUCAAUUGUACCUUAUCAGCCCGCCGAUCAUAUAUGCUUUGUACAGGAAACCUCGUGUUGGCUUCGUCGUGAUGGGAGUUCUCUUUAUCAUGAGUACGGCAUACGUCGUCAUCGUCGUGGUCCUUAAAGAAUAUCCAAUUGUCCUGCCGCCCACGACUCCUCUGUCCGGUCAACGCCCUGCUGUCGUCCAAGUUUCUGGUACCCCUCAGCCGACUGACCUUCGUCGUCUACCUCGUCCACCUGGUGCCCAUGCUUAUUUUCUUCGGAACACGACAGCAAAGUUUCGACUUCUCGCUUAGCCUCUUGUACUUCCUCUACAUUGGAUUCCUGGCUGCUGCGUACCUGUUGUCCCUGGUCGUGAGCCUGCUGCUUGAAGCGCCUAUCUUCAACGUUGAAAAAGUGCUGUUGGCUGGACGGAUGUGAAAAAAAGAAAAAGCCCUAGCUGCUGUUUUUCCAACAGUAGCCUAGAGAGGCGCCGCCUCGACGUAUAUCAAGCCUACCCUUUAGCGCCGACUGCUGCUGGAUAACACGUCGCCCACGUUUCCCCCAGAUAUGGCCAUUACAUGUUCUGAGUCGUUCAUGAGCGACUGAGAUGCCUCUACCGACUCAGCAGGCUUGCAGCGCAGCGCGCUUGGUGGCAGCUAAUGUCUGAUGAACCAGGUGUCGGAUUAAUAAGAU
This is a long non-coding RNA of Rhipicephalus sanguineus (brown dog tick), 713 nucleotides long. RefSeq lists it as uncharacterized. The record is from RefSeq and is a predicted model, not a curated record. The transcript has 4 exons. Lineage: Eukaryota; Metazoa; Arthropoda; Arachnida; Ixodida; Ixodidae.